UACGAAGGGGCUAGCGUUGCUCGGAAUUACUGGGCGUAAAGCGCACGUAGGCGGCUUUCUAAGUCGGGGGUGAAAUCCUGGAGCUCAACUCCAGAACUGCCUUCGAUACUGGAGAGCUCGAGUCCGGGAGAGGUGAGUGGAACUGCGAGUGUAGAGGUGAAAUUCGUAGAUAUUCGCAAGAACACCAGUGGCGAAGGCGGCUCACUGGCCCGGUACUGACGCUGAGGUGCGAAAGCGUGGGGAGCAAACAGG
RNAcentral lists this ribosomal RNA (252 nucleotides) under uncultured bacterium. Its description in RNAcentral is "partial 16S ribosomal RNA". It matches the Rfam family "Bacterial small subunit ribosomal RNA", at positions 524 to 776 of the family's 1533-position model. The record is from RNAcentral.